This 41-nucleotide transfer RNA is filed under the name Pelusios castaneus (West African mud turtle). RNAcentral describes it as "partial transfer RNA-Leu". Lineage: Eukaryota; Metazoa; Chordata; Testudines; Pelomedusidae. The record is from RNAcentral.
ACUUUCAAAGGACAGAAGUUAAUCCUGUGGCUUUAGGAGCC